CCUUGGAGAGCCUUAGUGUACAAAUGCUGUAGUCUGCAGAUCAACAGUUUAACUGCACCCUUUGGUUCUCAGUAGCUUGAUUGCAUCCAACUCUUAGAAACCCCAUGGACUGUAGCCCACCAAGCUGCUCUGUCCAUGGGAUUCUCCAGGCAAGAAUACUGGAGUGGGUUGCAAUUUCCUUCUCCAUGGAUCUUCCUGACCCAGGGAUCAAGCCCACAUCUCCUGUGUCUCCUGCUUUGGCAGGAAGAUUCUGUACUACUGAGCCACCCGGGAAGCACAACUGCAACCCUUUAGAGAAGCCCAAUGUGAAAGAAAAAAAAAAAAUAGAGGAGGGAGAGAAGUUUAACAAGAGGGAAAAAGCUUAUUUUAGGCUGGAACAGUAUAGUAGUUGUCUAUUGCUGCAUGUUAAUUUUUUGCCAAAAUUGAAUAGCUUCAAACAGUAAACAAAUGUUCAUUGUCUUCCAUGGUUCCUGAGGGCCAGGAAUCUGGAAGCAGCUCAACUACAAGAUUCUAGCUGAGGGUCUCUCGUGAGGCCUGGUGACCACUCUCAGUCAUUCCUCCCACAGCAGUUCCCAACCUUUUUGGCACCAGGGGUGGUUUCAUGGAAGACAAUUUUUCCCAUGAACUGGGAUUGGGGGACGGUUUCAGAAUGAUUCAAGGGCAUAGUAUUUAUUGUGCACUUUAUUUCUUUUGUUAUUACAUCAGCUCCACCUCAGAUCAUCAGGCAUUAGAUCCUGGAGUGCAAUGCACUUUAUGCCUGUACAGUGCUUCCUACUCUUCUUUGCUCAUCUGCCUGCCAACCUGGCUCACUUCUGCCUUUGUACUAUGAUUUAAAAAAAAAAAAUCGACAGUAACAAGUGUUGACAGGGAUGUGGAGAAAUCAGAGCCUUCAUACAAUGCUGGUAGAGAUGUAAAAUAAUACAGCCACUUUGGAAAACCGUCUGGUAUUCCUCCAAUAGUUAAACAGGGAGUUACUAUUUUAUCCAGAAAUCCCACUCCUUGGCAUCUACCUACCCAAGGGAGAUGAAACAUAUAUGCACACAAAAACUUGUACAUAUUUUAAUAGCAUUAUUUAGUAUGGCCAAAAGGUGGAAUCAACCCAAAUGAAAUGGGAAGUGGUGCGAAUCAACAGAUGACUAGAUAAACAAAAUAUGAUAUAUCCAUACAAUAGGAUAUUAUUCAGCUCUAGUAAGAAAUGAACUGUUGACAUAUGCUGCAACCUGGAUGAACCUUGAAAACUAUGCUAAGAAAGAGGCUCAUCACCAAAGACCACAUACCAUACAAUUCCAUCUAUAUGAAAUGUCCAAACAGGAGCAUCUGUAGAGAUAGAAAAUAAAUUUGUGGUUGCUUAGGGCUAGUGGAAAUGAGGGGAUGUGAGUCAUGAUAGCUAAUGAAUGCAGAGUUUCUUAAUAUUUAUUUUAUUUAUUUUGCUGUGCCAAGUCUUAGUUGUAGUACAUGAGAUCACUGAUCUUCAUUGUAGCGUGUAAACCAUGCAGCACGUGGGAUCUAGUUUCCUGACCAGGGAUCAAACCUGAGCCUGCUGCUUUGGGAGCUCAGAGUCUUAACCACUGGGCCACCGGGGAUGUCCCCAGAGUCUCUUUUUGAGGUAAUGAAAAUGGUCUAAAAUUAUCUGUGGAGAUCAUUGCUCAUUUUUGUGACUAUGCUAAAAAUUACUGAACUACAGCCUUUAGGCAGGUGGGUUUCUGUGGGGUCACAAAGAGUUGGACACGACUGAGCAACAAACACUAAAGUAUUACCAAAAAGUAAUAUAAUGGCAGUUGUGUGCCAAGAAGCAAGCAGGGACUUUAUAGUCCAACAGACUGUGUUAACAAGGCCUUCCAAGAAACAGGCACCAAAUUAGAAGUUAGAUACACACUGUUUUAUUAGGGGACUAUAAUCUAGGGGACUAGAUAAAUAUAAAUAAAACAUAGGGGACUAUGUCUUAUUAGGGGACUAUAAUUAUAAAUUAUAAUCUCACGCUGUUUUAUUGUGUGAGAUUAUAAAGGGGAGAAAGAUAGGAAAGGCUGGGGUCAGAUAUGGAUAGAAGGAAGGAAGGUUGGAGAAUCGUCCUAGCCCACCACACACUCUAGGAAAGGUCUGGCAUGGCUGUCAAGGAGUCCUGCAGCCAAGGUUUGCCACCAGGGUAGUUUUGUGUCAAUCAGAAAUGGAUCUGCCUUAGUGUCCCUGCUACGCUUUGUCAUCGGAUGGGAGACGCCAACAGGAAGAGUGUCCUCCAUGCGAAUGUGACAGUGACUUUCAGAGUGUAGCUGAAACCCCUGGUUAUGGCCCCUAUAAGUGGAUGUCUGCAAGGCUCAGUCUCAUGACCACUACACACACUCAGAUUCAAAUCCCAGUUCAACAACUUACUAGCCAUGUGACCUUCCUUGCACAAGAUACCCUCUGGGAGCCAGUUGUCUCCCAGUCUGUAAAAUGGGGAUAAUAGUAGUGGCUACCGCAC
Molecule: long non-coding RNA, 2458 nt
Organism: Bos taurus (domestic cattle)
Lineage: Eukaryota; Metazoa; Chordata; Mammalia; Artiodactyla; Bovidae
Source: Ensembl